This 468-nucleotide ribosomal RNA is filed under the name uncultured bacterium. Its description in RNAcentral is "partial 16S ribosomal RNA". It matches the Rfam family "Bacterial small subunit ribosomal RNA", at positions 28 to 507 of the family's 1533-position model. The record is from RNAcentral.
GACGAACGCUGGCGGCGUGCUUAACACAUGCAAGUCGAACGGAAAGGCCCUGCUUUUGUGGGGUGCUCGAGUGGCGAACGGGUGAGUAACACGUGAGUAACCUGCCCUUGACUUUGGGAUAACUUCAGGAAACUGGGGCUAAUACCGGAUAGGAGCUCCUGCUGCAUGGUGGGGGUUGGAAAGUUUCGGCGGUUGGGGAUGGACUCGCGGCUUAUCAGCUUGUUGGUGGGGUAGUGGCUUACCAAGGCUUUGACGGGUAGCCGGCCUGAGAGGGUGACCGGCCACAUUGGGACUGAGAUACGGCCCAGACUCCUACGUGAGGCAGCAGUGGGGAAUAUGGCACAAUGGGCGGAAGCCUGAUGCAGCAACGCCGCGUGCGGGAUGAUGGCCUUCGGGUUGUAAACCGCUUUCGCCUGUGACGAAGCGUGAGUGACGGUAAUGGGUAAAGAAGCACCGGCUAACUACGUG